CAGCACCUCAAGUGGUCAGGAUGAUUAUUGGGCCUAAAGCAUCCGUAGCCGGCGCUGUAAGUUUUCGGUUAAAUCUGUACGCUCAACGUACAGGCUGCCGGGAAUACUGCAGCGCUAGGGAGUGGGAGAGGUAGACGGUACUCGGUAGGAAGGGGUAAAAUCCUUUGAUCUAUUGAUGACCACCUGUGGCGAAGGCGGUCUACCAGAACACGUCCGACGGUGAGGGAUGAAAGCUGGAGGAGCAAACCGGAUUAGAUACCCGUGUAGUCC
RNAcentral lists this ribosomal RNA (270 nucleotides) under uncultured archaeon. Its description in RNAcentral is "partial 16S ribosomal RNA". It matches the Rfam family "Archaeal small subunit ribosomal RNA", at positions 477 to 747 of the family's 1478-position model. The record is from RNAcentral.